CUCUUCUCAAAGUUUUACGUAAGAGUUUGUGAAAGGGAUUGGCCUUGCCUACAUGCCUCUCAUCACAAAUGAAAAUAGGCAACCCAUCUGAAGGACUGGUCUCACUUACACGGAAACUGUUUUACGUAAGAAGAGGAGGCUGGCCCAGCAAAGGUGUGGUUUUAUUUACAUCCAUGCCCUUUCCUUAUGAUUGGAGUGUGUUUGGAAGGUGUGGUCUCAUUUAUAUCCCGCCUCAACUGCCUUUGGCUUGCCUGAAUUCAACCCUUUCCUGUGGCUGGAAAAGGAACUUCUACAAGCAUAAUAAAACGGCUGUGUGAAAAACAUGACUCUCUUCUGCCUCUUUUUCUUCAGUGUAUGUGUUCCUGCUGGUAUGUACCUGAAAAGGGAAGGCCAUGUUCCUGGGGAGAGAGUUUUGGGUCUGUGUAGGUGGAAAGUGAACAGACAGUCCCUUUGAUGUGAAGCUCUGAUGUGUGACUGUGUCCAGAAGCACCAGGCAGAAAUGAUGAUUCCCCUGAGCCUGUUGUGCUGCAACUGAACCCUGAAGG
Long non-coding RNA from Myiozetetes cayanensis, 545 nucleotides. RefSeq lists it as uncharacterized. The record is from RefSeq and is a predicted model, not a curated record. Lineage: Eukaryota; Metazoa; Chordata; Aves; Passeriformes; Tyrannidae. The transcript is spliced from 3 exons.